AUACGUAGGGGGCGAGCGUUGUCCGGAAUGAUUGGGCGUAAAGGGCGCGUAGGCGGCCCGGUAAGUCUGGAGUGAAAGUCCUGUUUUUAAGAUGGGAAUUGCUUUGGAUACUGUCGGGCUUGAGUGCAGGAGAGGUAAGUGGAAUUCCCAGUGUAGCGGUGAAAUGCGUAGAGAUUGGGAGGAACACCAGUGGCGAAGACGACUUACUGGACUGUAACUGACGCUGAGGCGCGAAAGUGUGGGGAGCAAACAGGAUUAGAUACCCUGGUAGUCCACACUGUAAACGAUGAAUGCUAGGUGUAGGGGGUAUCGACCCCUUCUGUGCCGCAGUCAACACAAUAAGCAUUCCGCCUGGGGAGUACGGCCGCAAGGUUGAAACUCAAAUGAAUUGACGGGG
Molecule: ribosomal RNA, 397 nt
Filed under: uncultured bacterium
Lineage: Bacteria
Description: partial 16S ribosomal RNA
Rfam family: Bacterial small subunit ribosomal RNA
Source: RNAcentral